UACAGAGUGUGCAAACGGUGUUCGGAAUCACUGGGCGUAAAGCGGGUGUAGACGGCCAUGCAAGUCGGGUGUGAAAUCCCGGGGCUCAACCUCGGAAGUGCACUCGAAACUGCGGGGCUGGAGUCCUGGAGAGGAAGGUGGAAUGCCUGGUGUAGAGGUGAAAUUCGUAGAUAUCAAGCGGAACACCGGUGGCGAAGGCGGCCUUCUGGACAGUGACUGACGCUGAGCCCCGAAAGCGCGGGGAGCAAACAGG
RNAcentral lists this ribosomal RNA (253 nucleotides) under uncultured bacterium. RNAcentral's name for it is "partial 16S ribosomal RNA". It matches the Rfam family "Bacterial small subunit ribosomal RNA", at positions 524 to 776 of the family's 1533-position model. The record is from RNAcentral.